GCCAUCUUAAGACCCACCAACAACGCGCUUUCUCAUUGGCUCCGGCAUAUCAGCCAAUGGGCUGGGGCCAUUCUGGCCUGCGGUCGCCAUGGCAACCGGCCGAGCUCCACUCUGCUAUUAAAUCCGUGGAUGUUCCUCCCAUCCUGAUGUCCAUGUGACAUGCCAUCCUAACCGGUUGGGUGUUUACCGAUGUAAGUGACCCUGUGGCAAAAGGAGAAGAGCAAAGAGUGAGGAAUGGCUCAAGCUGAGUCUCAAUCAUACUAUAUCCAGGUGUGAUAUCAAAUUGAGUUAAUCUGUAUUUUCUUAACUAGAGACUGAAAAAUUUCUUUCCUAAGAAAUUGUUUUGACUUUUAAGCAGAGGAUACUCAGAUAGGCUCUUACAGACCCUCCUGAAGCAAAAAACUUUGCUUUAUGUAAAUAGCCUUGUUACAGUAAUAAAUAAGGAAACUCAAAAUAAUGGCGCUCUGAAUUUCUAGCCAUCAAGGUUUCCAAAGAUUUACCUUUGGAAAUGAUCAGUCUUUAAGGAGCAAUACUAAAAACACACCAAAUGCCUUAAGUUCCAAAGUCAUACAGGACCAGCAAGGGCAAGAAUUAAAAUGGAGAGUGCUUUGUUCUAGAAGUUACAAAGACCUGGGUACUAACUCUUUUCUCCCAGGCAGGUGGCUUAAACUCCAGGACCUUAGAUGUUUUCAGCUGUGAAACAGGAACAACAGCACCUGCUCUGCCUGUUUUCAUAGGGCUGUAAAGGUCAAGGGCAGAGGCAGCAAUGAACAUACAGCAGCAACCAUACCAAUAGGACACCUGUGUGUAUAAGGAACAGUGAAAUCUGGUACAAGAACCCAGCCUUCAGACUGGCCUGACACCCUUGUGCCUUGCUAUACUGUUGGUGAAAGGUUAUUUGGGAAGGUGGUAAUUGCUGAGAGUACGUUCAAGCUGAAGCAGAAUAACUUGCUUGAAUGUUAAGGAAAAGAAGACUAGAAGGAGCAAAGGGCUCAGCCCUUGAAACUCUGGGAAUCACUUACCGUUAGAGGAGACAGUCUGUGACACUCUUCACAUGGGCUAAGUGGGAGACUUAGGGGCCUAUGGGGUAGGAAGUGCCCUAGAACUUCUGGUCAGAAUGGGUUAAAGAGGGCUGUGAUAAAACUAGUCAUUUUGUUGCCAUCUGAAGGGUGUAUGUAAGUAGAAAACUAGUCUGUAAAAAAUAGAUAGCAGACACUAGCACUGAAUGGUUAACGGGACUCUUUGUGAGACUAUGUGUGAUUUUUAUUCUUUUUUAUUUACACUUCCUAGGUCUUCCACAAUGACAAUGUCUUCUUUUGGCAAUAAACAUGUUAUUUAUAUAAAAAGCAAAUAGACAUUGAAAUGUCAUAUUAUAUGCCAAAACUCUACUUUUUUUCAGUUAUUAGGCUUAUUACCUGAUAGGUAACUUCUCUUAAAGUGGAAAAUGUGCUUCUUGAUCAUCAGCAGUGGUUCACAGCAACCAGUCCUUCACCUCUCAUUUGGAAGUUACAUGCCCUCCUCCUGCACUUGGGGUCCUUCUGCCAGGCAGGGAUUGGUUGCGUGAAGGGGUGUGGCCCAAAUAACCCUUAGGGAUCCAGGCCACAGAGCUAAUGAAGUGCCCCAAGGAAAGAAAGUCUUACCCAUCAGCUAUGAAUUCUCUCGCCGCCCCCAACGCCAGAGACCUGGGGGCACGUGACCUAGGAAUGUGCAUCCCCAGAUAAUGCUACCUUCAGAGAACUCUACUUAUAGUGGCGGAAUUGAGUCACUGCAGCAGCUGAAGCCAAGUGCUUUUCCUUCGAGGCUCAUUGCCUGUUUCUUAGUUCUGGGAAGACAGCUCAGGAGAUGGUAAAGUUAAGGGAAAUGAAGACGUUGGAAUGAUUGUGAUUCCAAAGAGCCAAGACCUCUUUGGGAAGGAGAAGGAAGGUGGGCAACUACCAUCUUCUAACAUCCUAUAAUGCUUAUUUAUUAUGUUUAUUGUUUAUUGUCUGUGUCUCUCUUCAUAAUGUUACUUCCCCAAGGGCAGGGGUAUUUGACUACUUUGUUUAUCAAUGUAUCCAAAAGGCCUAUAAUGGAGCUUCAUACCUUUUAGACACUCAGUAAAUAUUUGCUGAGUUGAAUAAGUAGCUGCAGGUCUAUAGACUAUGCCUUUUUGAAGACAGUGCUCGAUGUGGUUAUAAGACAAGGUCAUUGACAGCUUAUCUUCUUCCCUUGUCUUACCCUUGGACUUGAUUUGAGCCUCUGUGAUUAGGAAGAUGAGGCUUGUUGAAGCUGUUUUCAGAAGAGGCUAUGAGACUCUGGGGACCAGAAGAACUGCCCUGGGGGCCCAGAAAGGAAAAAGGUAAUAAAUAAUGAAGAAAAGGAAAAGCCAUGAGAUACAAACAAACUCAAAAAAGAAAUGGAACAGGCUUCUGGCUUCUGGUAAUCCCCGUGCACAUAACAGCUGUAAAUUCUGGACAAAAUAUAAAAAGCAGCUGUCUAAAGGCACCAGAGAAUUCCAAGCAGGCAAAUGCUUGGGGGCAGUCUGCAUUUGGAAGAAGCAAAUGACAACAGGCAAGUUUCCCAUGAUUACUGCUUUUUGCCAGAAAGCAGGACUCGGUCCUUGCCAAAUAGGAGUCACUAAAAACUUGGAUAGAAAACCUGAGGUCCUACUGACAUGAGGAUCCAGGAGGUAGAGUUCAAGGUGAUUGCAGUAACUGAAAAGUGAGGGGGGACUCUUGAAGAGCCAAGGCAAGGGGGCAAGGGGCCAUGGGGGUGGGCCAUGUGCCCUGUGCAUAAACUCUACACAAAUCAUUGCGGACCCCCAACCUUCUGUGCAAGCAGCCUAGCUAAAGCUAAAGGAAUGGAACAGAGGUUUCUGUGCCUGUUUGCUGCAAGGGAGACACUUUGGAGUCUGAGGCUAGUUAACAGCUUACUUAAAAAAAAAAAAUCAAGAUUCUUCAGAGGAACACAACAAAAUCCAGGGGCUCUACAAUAUAUAUCAUUCAUAACUCCUUGAAUGACCUUGAAGAUACCGAAUACAUGAAGAAAAAAAGAAAAUGUGAGCCAAAAACCAAUCAAUGGAGACUGACUCUAAGAUAACUCAGUGGCUUGAAUUAGCAAACAAGAAUUUUAAGUCAGGCAUUGCACCCGUGCUCAUUAAUGUAAAGGAAAAUAUGGAAAGAAUUAGCAAAUGUGAUGUCUCAAUGGAGAACUAGAAACUGUACAAAAGAAUCAAAUGGAUAUUCUAAAACCAAAAAGACACAAUAUUAGAAAUGUUUUCAUUGUGUAGGUCUGGCAUGGUGUUGUGUAGAUGACUGAAUAGACAGAGAACUUGAAAAUAGAUCAGUAGAAAUAAUUCUAUGAGAAGGGAUUUCCUGGGAACUUCCAUGUGCUGCAGGCUCAGCCCUAAAAAGAAAAAAAAAGAAAAGAAAGAAAUCUAUGAGAAGAACAUACAGGAAAAAAAUUGGUGAAAAAUGAGCAGAGCCUCAAGAACCUCUGAAACAAUAUCAAAAGAUCUAAUGUUCAUGUAAUUGGAAUCCUGGAGGGAGAGGGGAGAAAGAAUGGGAUAGAAAAAACUUUGAGGAAAUUUAGUAUAUGCAUAUGUAAUAUCUAUGACAGAUGUCAGGGUAUGACAGAUAUAUUCUAAAAUGUGAUUUUAGAUUUUACAUAUAUUACAUGUGAAUAUUCAAAUAUAGAUUAUAAUUUAUAUAUAGUUAUAUAUAUAAUUAUUAUAAACAUGUAUGAAACAGAGCUUCAAAAUAUAUUUUUAAAAAAUAAACAAUUUAAAGGGAAAAAUAGACAAAUCCACAAUCAUAGUUGGAGAUUUCAACCCUAUUUUCUCAACAGUUGUUCUUAAAAAACUAGACUUUAAAAAAA
This is a non-coding RNA of Sus scrofa (pig), 3855 nucleotides long. The record is from RefSeq and is a predicted model, not a curated record. NCBI's taxonomy places the organism in Eukaryota, Metazoa, Chordata, Mammalia, Artiodactyla, Suidae.